GCGGAUUUCCAACGUUUCUGAGCACCAGUCUACCCUCCGACCUCUGCCUUCCAAGCAGAUGGUGCGGGUUCGAUUCCCGUCAUCCGCU
RNAcentral lists this transfer RNA (88 nucleotides) under Salana multivorans. The record is from Rfam by way of RNAcentral. Lineage: Bacteria; Bacillati; Actinomycetota; Actinomycetes; Micrococcales; Beutenbergiaceae.